This 433-nucleotide ribosomal RNA is filed under the name uncultured bacterium. RNAcentral describes it as "partial 16S ribosomal RNA". It matches the Rfam family "Bacterial small subunit ribosomal RNA", at positions 29 to 507 of the family's 1533-position model. The record is from RNAcentral.
AACGAACGCUGGCGGCAUGCCUAACACAUGCAAGUCGAACGAGACCUUCGGGUCUAGUUGCGCACGGGUGCGUAACGCGUGGGAACCUGCCCUUAGGUUCGGAAUAACUCCCCGAAAGGGGUGCUAAUACCGGAUAAUGUCUUCUGACCAAAGAUUUAUCGCCUUUGGAUGGGCCCGCGUUGGAUUAGCUAGUUGGUAGGUUAAAAGCCUACCAAGGCGACGAUCCAUAUCUGGUCUGAGAGGAUGAUCAGCCACACUGGGCCUGAGACACGGCCCAGACUCCUAGGGGAGGCAGCAGGGGGGAAUAUUGGAAAAUGGGCGAAAGCAUGAUGCAGCAAUGCCGCGUGAGUGAGGAAGGCCUGAGGGUUGUAAAGCACUUUUACACGGGAAGAUAAUGACAGUACCGGGAGAAUAAGCUCCGGCUAACUCCGUG